AUGAAGUUUCCUCAGAGUAGGGCUGGGCACGGUUUUUACUUGAGAGACCCAAAAGGCGUGGACGAUCGCAAAGUGGCGUCGCGAUGGUUCAGCUUGGAAAAUCCAGACGGCGACGAGAAGAGGAUGUACAGAGGCAGAAUGCACUUGCGCCUUUGCUUUGACGGCGGAUAUCACGUGAUGGACGAGGCGGCGCACGUGUGCAGCGACUACAGCCCAACUGCGAGGCAGCUCUGGAAGCCACCGCUAGGCACGGUGGAGCUCGGAGUAAUCGGAUGCAAGAACUUGAUACCGGUCAAGACGGUCAACGGUAAAGGAUGCUCGGACGCCUACUGCGUGGCCAAGUAUGGACCAAAAUGGGUACGCACGCGUACCGUAUGUGAUAGUUUGGAGCCCAAGUGGAACGAGCAGUACACGUUUAAAGUCUACGAUCCGUGUACGGUGCUGAGCAUCGGCGUUUUUGACAAUUCCGGAUCGGGUUUCGAAAUCGAGGGCUCGAAAGACGCCACGCGUCCUGACUUCCGCAUCAUCAAUGUCGUUGCGGGGUUUUGCAGAGAUCCAAGAUGGGGUCGCUGUUAUGAAAGCUACAGUGAAGAUCCUAAGAUAGUUCAAGCAAUGACUGAGAUCAUUCCCGGCUUACAAGGGGAGAUACCAGCUAACUGUAGAAAGGGUGUUCCCUUCGUAGCAGGAAAUAAAAAGGUUGCAGCUUGUGCAAAGCAUUUUGUGGGUGACGGUGGAACAACCAAAGGCAUCAAUGAGAAUAACACUGUGAUUAACAGACACGGCUUGCUCAGCAUUCACAUGCCAGGCUACUAUAACUCAAUUAUCAAGGGUGUGGCAACCAUUAUGGUAUCCUACUCAAGCUGGAAUGGAGUAAAGAUGCAUGCUAAUCAUGAUCUUGUCACUGCCUUCCUUAAGAAUACGCUACGUUUCAGGGGUUUUGUCAUUUCAGAUUGGGAGGGUAUUGAUAGGAUCACCUCUCCACCUCAUGCCAACUACUCUUAUUCAAUUCAGGCAGGAAUCAAUGCUGGCAUUGACAUGGUCAUGGUUCCAUACAACUAUAUGGAAUUCAUUGACGGUUUAACCUUCCUGGUGAAAAAUAAGAUCAUUCCCAUGAGCAGAAUUGAUGAUGCAGUAAAGAGAAUUUUGCGAGUUAAGUUUGUCAUGGGCUUAUUUGAGGAACCAUUCGCUGAUAUGAGCCUGGUCCACCAGCUUGGCAGUCAGGAACAUAGAGAACUGGCUAGGGAAGUUGUGAGGAGAUCGCUGGUGCUGCUAAAGAAUGGUGAAUCUGCUGAAAAGCCAUUGAUACCCCUUCCCAAGAAGACAUCAAAAAUACUUGUAGCUGGCAGUCAUGCAGAUAAUCUUGGCUAUCAGUGUGGUGGGUGGACUAUUGAGUGGCAGGGAUUAAGUGGCAACAAUCUCACAGAAGGUACCACAAUUCUUACUGCCAUAAAGAACACAGUUAGUCUACAAAGAGAAUCCUGACGCUGACUUUGUGAAGUCAAAUAAUAUCUCGUAUGCCAUUGUUGUAGUCGGAGAACAUCCAUAUGCCGAGACAUUUGGUGACAGCUUAAAUUUGACAAUCCCCGACCCUGGCCCGACCACCAUCACUAAUGUUUGCGGCGCUGUGAAAUGUGUUGUUAUUGUCAUCUCCGGCCGUCCUGUUGUGGUCCAACCCUAUGUUGCUUCGAUUAAUGCCCUUGUCGCAGCUUGGCUUCCAGGAACUGAAGGCCAAGGAGUAGCUGAUGUUUUAUUUGGUGACUAUGGUUUCACUGGAAAGCUUUCUCGCACGUGGUUCAAAACAGUCGAUCAGCUACCUAUGAAUGUUGGAGAUGCACGUUAUGACCCUCUCUUCCCAUUUGGAUUUGGCCUCACUACAACCCCCACCCAUUUCAACUAGGUAUUCAUGUAGUACUCUUCAAAAUGGAUGGUUAUUUAUCUGAAUAAUAAAAUUAUUAAUUAGAGGCUUAUUCAUUUAUGAGCCUUUAAUUUAAAUUCGUAAGUAAAGUUUCUCAAUGACUCCAAUAGGUAUAUUUUUCAGACAUGCAUUCUAGUGAA
This is an RNA transcript of Prunus persica (peach), 2055 nucleotides long. It is a transcript of the gene named beta-glucosidase BoGH3B, with no coding region annotated. Lineage: Eukaryota; Viridiplantae; Streptophyta; Magnoliopsida; Rosales; Rosaceae. The record is from RefSeq and is a predicted model, not a curated record. The transcript has 7 exons.